CCAAUAGUAAUUUUGGCUCAGUGAGCAAUACUCACAGCUGGCCACCUGCCUGGGCAUGGCCAGCUAGCUGGGUUUUGAAGGGACUCCGAGGAGGCUGGUUUUCUUGGGCUAGGCUAGGAAGGGCCCCAAGGCAAAGGUACGAAGCCUGUGUUUGAUGCCACCAAGGGGAGCCAAUGGAAUAGGGCAGAGUGGGUUGUGGGGCUGGCAUCAGAGGACGGGGUAAGCGGCCGGGCCCGCGCCGCCUCGGGCUGCGGUCACAGGACACCGACUCCUGCUCCUGCCUGCGGGUUGGGUCGGGUCCGCCAGAGUGGGAGGGGGCGUGGCACUCUCGGAAACGGCUGCGCCGGCGGAGAGUUUGACUCUAUGGUUGAGGCGCGGUAAGAUGAUGUCACUACUAGCCUGGUUGGGUCACGUGGGUGAUCACCAAUGUUUGUGCGUGGCGCAGAGCGAUGAGGCGGUAGUGGGGCGCGCGCCAUGCGGAGCGGCGGCUGUUCGGAUACAGGACCUGGGCACAGACAAUAGAAGAUCAAGAGAUCUCUGGAAAACAAAAAGUAUGCAUAUGUUUCUUUGAAAUCUGGCUAAAAACAAGGAACAAAGUUGAGAAAUUCUCACUGCAGAGUUCCAUCCCCUCCUUUUAACAAUGUCCUUAACCUUAAGGGCGAUAUAAAUGGCACAUUUUCCAUAGCUUAUCUUGGGCCUGGAUUAAGCUGGCUCACAGUGGUCACCAUACCCCAUUAAUUGUAAGAUUUUGUUUCAGGGGAUUCUUUAGUAGGAGUAGAGAGGUUAUUUUACCUCUGUAUUUGGUACUGGUGCAACUGCUGCUGGAAUACUGUUUCCAGUUCUGGUGUCCAUAAUUCAAGAAGGAUGUUGAUAAACUGCAGAGAAGAGCAACAAAGAAUAACUAAAGGAUUAGAAAACUGACCUUAUAGUGAUAGGCUCAAAGAGCUCAAUCUAUUUAGUUUAGCAAAGGGAAGAUUUAAGAGGUGACUUGAUCCCAGUCUAUAAGUACCUACAUGGGGAACAAAUAUUUAAUAAUGGGCUCUUCGGUCUAGCAGAGACAGGCUGGAAAUAAGAUGUUCAUUUUUAAUGGUGAAAGUAAUUAACCACUGGAACAACUUACCAAGCGUUGUGGUGAAUUCUCCAUCACUAACCAUUUUAAAAUCAAGAUUAAACAUUUUUUCUAAAAUAUAUGCUCUAAGAAUUAUUUUGGGGAAGUUCUGUGGUGUGUGUUGAACAGAAGGUCAGACUAGAGCAUCGGUUCUCAAACUUAAUUACACCACAACCCUCUUCUGAUGACAAAAAUUACUACACGACCCCGGGGGGAGGGAGGGCAAAGCCUGAGCCCCACCGCCCUGGGUUGAGGGGCCAAAGCCUGAACCCCAACACCCGGGGCAGAGAAGCCAAAGUCAAAGCCCAACAGCUUCAGCCCUAGGUGUGUGGGGGGUCUGUAACCUGAGCCCCGCCACCCAGGGCUGAGGCCCUUGGGCUUCAGCUUCAUCCCUGGACUCCAGCAAGUCUAAAUGCCAGCUCUGGUGACCAUUACAAUGGGGUCGUGACCCACCUUGUGGUCC
Long non-coding RNA from Chrysemys picta bellii (western painted turtle), 1571 nucleotides. The record is from Ensembl. Lineage: Eukaryota; Metazoa; Chordata; Testudines; Emydidae.